Molecule: long non-coding RNA, 643 nt
Organism: Peromyscus maniculatus bairdii (prairie deer mouse)
Lineage: Eukaryota; Metazoa; Chordata; Mammalia; Rodentia; Cricetidae
Source: RefSeq, a predicted model, not a curated record
GUCUGCAUGACAGGCUCUCGCCCACUGAGCCGUCUCCCAAGCUCCUCCAGCUUAAAGGUUUUAAACUGAAAACAACGCUUUGUCUUCUGCAUCUGUAUUACAUGUGCACUGAGCCCUGUGAGGCUGCACCACCUCCUUGUUGAUCACAGGAUGUGGGAGAUGGAGUCAGGGAACUUCGGAGUAUGAAAAGCACUGCUCCUUCCAGGGAGGGCCAGCACGAGCACUCAGCUUCUUUUGGAACAUUCCAGAAGGCAGCACGGUUAUCCCUUCUUUUUCACUGUGUCCCUGCCCUCUGUCCUGGGACUGAGCGCUGUAACAGAGCGGCCAGUGCAGCCUACAGAUGUGCUUGCAAGAUGCCUCUGCCAUCACCUUCUGGAGAAAGAUGGGGACUUCACUUCCGGUAAAGCAGAGUUGAUUGCCCAACUCAGUUGCAGGGCUCUGGAGUGACAAUGUAUCUGUGAAAAGCCAAAAGGUUGAACAUCCCUGCACAUGUGACUGGAAGAACUAGCCACGUGCAUAAGAGCUUGGAGGAGGGACUCUCCAUAGCACCUUGAGAUGACCUUGUCUCACCAGGACCAGAAAGUUAGUGAGGUGCUGUCACCCCCAGAUUCUCACCCACCAAUAUAGUUGUACAACACAAACA